UAGUUUGAUCCUGGCUCAGGAUGAACGCUAGCGGCAGGCCUAAUACAUGCAAGUCGGACGGCAGCAGCCCCGGGCAACCGGGGGCUGGCGAGUGGCGCACGGGUGCGUAACGCGUAUGCAACCUACCUUUUACAGGGGGAUAGCCCGGGGAAACCCGGAUUAAUACCCCAUGCCGCCCACCCCCCACCUGGGAGAUGGGCGAAAGGUUUACCGGUAAAGGAUGGGCAUGCGUCCCAUUAGCUAGUUGGUGGUGCAACAGACCACCAAGGCGACGAUGGGUAGGGGGUCUGAGAGGAUGGUCCCCCACACUGGCACUGAGAUACGGGCCAGACUCCUACGGGAGGCAGCAGUAGGGAAUAUUGGUCAAUGGGCGGGAGCCUGAACCAGCCAUGCCGCGUGCAGGAAGACGGCCUUCUGGGUUGUAAACUGCUUUUUCCAGGGAAGAAAAGACCCAUGCGUGGGGCAUUGACGGUACCUGGAGAAUAAGCACCGGCUAACUCCGUGCCAGCAGCCGCGGUAAUACGGAGGGUGCAAGCGUUGUCCGGAUUUAUUGGGUUUAAAGGGUGCGUAGGCGGCCAUUUAAGUCAGUGGUGAAAUGCGGCAGCUCAACUGCCGGAGUGCCAUUGAUACUGAGAGGCUUGAGUAUAGAUGAGGCAGGCGGAAUUUAUGGUGUAGCGGUGAAAUGCAUAGAUACCAUAAAGAACACCGAUAGCGUAGGCAGCUUGCCAAAACUAUACUGACGCUGAGGCACGAAAGCAUGGGUAGC
RNAcentral lists this ribosomal RNA (766 nucleotides) under uncultured bacterium. Its description in RNAcentral is "bacterial SSU rRNA". It matches the Rfam family "Bacterial small subunit ribosomal RNA", at positions 9 to 769 of the family's 1533-position model. The record is from RNAcentral.